AAGASCUUGCGCUUUUGGAGCGGCCGAUGUCUGAUUAGCUAGUUGGUGGGGUAAUGGCCUACCAAAGCUUCGAUCAGUAGCUGGUCUGAGAGGACGGCCAGCCACACUGGGACUGAGACACGGCCCAGACUCCUACGGGAGGCAGCAGUGGGGAAUUUUGGACAAUGGGCGCAAGCCUGAUCCAGCCAUGCCGCGUGAGUGAAGAAGGCCUUCGGGUUGUAAAGCUCUUUCAGCCGGGAAGAAAAGGCUGCGACUAAUAAUCGCAGUUCAUGACGGUACCGGAAGAAGAAGCACCGGCUAACUACGUGCCAGCAGCCGCGGUAAUACGUAGGGUGCGAGCGUUAAUCGGAAUUACUGGGCGUGAAGGGUGCGCAGGCGGUUUUGUAAGUCAGAUGUGAAAUCCCCGGGCUUAACCUGGGAACU
RNAcentral lists this ribosomal RNA (423 nucleotides) under uncultured bacterium. RNAcentral describes it as "bacterial SSU rRNA". It matches the Rfam family "Bacterial small subunit ribosomal RNA", at positions 202 to 622 of the family's 1533-position model. The record is from RNAcentral.